Ornithodoros turicata is the source of this 1635-nucleotide long non-coding RNA. RefSeq lists it as uncharacterized. The record is from RefSeq and is a predicted model, not a curated record. Lineage: Eukaryota; Metazoa; Arthropoda; Arachnida; Ixodida; Argasidae. The transcript has 3 exons.
GACCGAAGUGCGUACAUUCCUGGCAAUGUUUGGAGGCCGUGGCACUGCAGACCACGUGGCACGAAUCCUGUCUCGUGUUAUCACGAAUGACCUUGCCACAGAAUUCAGCUGGUUUGGCGCAAGGGGGAAAAGAUCGUUCAAAGACCUUGCAUUCGCAGACCUACUUUGUGAGUCCAUCAGAUCUUCACUGCCAAAGGACAAGCAGAACACAACGUUCAAGGAUAUUGAAGAUGCAGUGAAAUCAUGGCUACGUCAUGCAAAAGAAAGGAAGGACAGGCAGGCAGAAAAGACGAGCAAAGGGGGGUCAUCGUAAGCCUCAACUAUAUUGUGUUUCGGCUGUCAAUCCUCAUUGCAUUCUGUAGUUUAGAAUGUGUAUGCCAUUGUGCCUUGUGUGUUACUUUUAUAGCACGGUAUGCCCCAGCAGACAGGCUCUGUUGCUGCUUUUCUUGUUGGGUUUCUCUACCAACACAAAUACCCCUCGCAUAUAGCCCACAUAUUCUGUUGUGAUUUCUCGUCAUAGUCACAGUGCUGUGGUGGUGGAUGGUAAGGAACAGCUCCAUGUGGUGCUCUGACACAGCACUUGCAGUCGCGACAUAGGACAAUGUGUGACCUGAUCUUACCAACGUCACAAAGAACAAGGCACAAGGCCUCGGUCACCCUAUGACACAGCCGCAAGUGUCAUUCGCCAGUCUGGUUGAUAUUGAAACGUCGCAAGCAUACAUUCUUUCGAACACAACAGUACUCGGAUGUUUUAGCAGAAUAACGUAUUGGUAGACUGUGCAAGGUAAUUGUGAACACAAACAAAUUAGUUACUGUAAGUCACCAAGGGUCGACACAAGUUUUUCACUGGGACAUGUCACUGCGGAAGGUCCACAGGGUACCAAAAAUGCCAGAGGUAAAAUUCAAAAUUAGGGAUUUUAUUUAAUGUACAUAGUGUGCAAAUGCGAUAUCUAACGUCAGUUUAUAGCCAAUGUGUCAAAGCUCCCCGCCGAAGGGGAAGUUCAUCGGUGGUGUGAGCUGUUUCUGAACUAUCCAGGCAUGGUACUUAAGUGAAAGACAGUGUGCAUAUACUAUGUUCUUCGUUACUGUAAUUCAAGGACAUUUAGAGCAUUUUUAAGAGUUUUCUUGUCAGGGGUGCUGUCAUAUGGAUGUUUCAUGAUACGUUUUUACCACUUUUAUGCCUCACGGGACUGUUCAUUCAGCAAACAAUUUCUCAUCUGCAAAGUGACUGCUUGUAUUAUUUUCGAGUGUUCUAUUUGAUGAUGUGUUUUAGAAAACUGUGUAAUUUCGUUCUGUUUUAGCAGCGCAUAGCUGAUUGUUCUCUGUGCACUAUACUGACAUAUAUCACAUUCAGUUGCUCAGUUUUCACUGUGAUACAUUGCGGUUGUGUGAUAUUUUCAUAUAUUUCUAUGUGGACGUGUGUCUCGAAAAUUUCUAGCACCCUUCUAGUCAAGGAUGUUAAAGUCUAAGUUUACGGACUUGCGCAUAUCCUUUCUAUUACUGUUGUAAGUUACACGAAUAUGUUAUAUUGCGAAUUCAAUGUAAAAAAAAGUUUGGUGAAUGUAUGUGUUUCAUAUUUUUUGUAAUACUGCUCAGUGUAUGGUGAAACGAAUAAAUAUAACAGGGGCACAUCAA